This 648-nucleotide ribosomal RNA is filed under the name Acaulospora sp. RNAcentral's name for it is "partial large subunit ribosomal RNA". It matches the Rfam family "Eukaryotic large subunit ribosomal RNA", at positions 89 to 626 of the family's 3401-position model. Lineage: Eukaryota; Fungi; Glomeromycota; Glomeromycetes; Diversisporales; Acaulosporaceae. The record is from RNAcentral.
GCGAGUGAAGUGGGAAGAGCUCAAAUUUUAAAUCACUCAGGUUUCCUGGGUGAAUUGUAAUUUGAAGAAAGUGUUUUGACGUUCGGGUUCGAUUUAAAUCCUUUGGGAUAAGGUAUCAUAGAGGGUUAGAAUCCCGUUUAUGAUUGUUCCUUUGAAUGUCUAUAAUUCACUUUCCAAGAGUCGAGUUGUUUGGGAUUGCAGCUCAAAAUGGGUGGUAAAUUUCACCUAAGGCUAAAUAUGUGCAAGAGACCGAUAGCGAACAAGUACCGUGAGGGAAAGAUGAAAAGAACUUUGAAAAGAGAGUUAAAUAGUACGUGAAAUUGUUGAAAGGGAAACGAUUAAAGUCAGUCAUGUUGGUAGGGAAUCAACUUGAUGGUAUGCGAGUUUACUCGUACUCUUUCUGGUGCACUUCCUUACUUGCAGGUUAGCAUCAAUUUUGGUUAUCAUACAAAAAUUGAGGGAAGGUGGCUUUCUUCGGAAAGUGUUAUAGACCUCGAUAAAUGUGGUGACCGGGAUUGAGGAUUGCAGCGGAUACCCUUUGGGCUAGUCACCUGGCUUCUGAUGGUCAUCCCGCCUUCGAUAGCUUGCUAACGUUGAUAGGACCCGAUUGUCUAGAUGUUAGAGUGAUCAUAAAUUCGCUAAGGAUGC